RNAcentral lists this ribosomal RNA (500 nucleotides) under uncultured bacterium. RNAcentral's name for it is "partial 16S ribosomal RNA". It matches the Rfam family "Bacterial small subunit ribosomal RNA", at positions 30 to 523 of the family's 1533-position model. The record is from RNAcentral.
AUUGAACGCUGGCGGCAGGCUUAACACAUGCAAGUCGAGCGGAGAUGAGGUGCUUGCACCUUAUCUUAGCGGCGGACGGGUGAGUAAUGCUUAGGAAUCUGCCUAUUAGUGGGGGACAACAUUCCGAAAGGAAUGCUAAUACCGCAUACGUCCUACGGGAGAAAGCAGGGGAUCUUCGGACCUUGCGCUAAUAGAUGAGCCUAAGUCGGAUUAGCUAGUUGGUGGGGUAAAGGCCUACCAAGGCGACGAUCCCUAGCUGGUCUGAGAGGAUGACCAGCCACACUGGAACUGAGACACGGUCCAGACUCCUACGGGAGGCAGCAGUGGGGAAUAUUGCACAAUGGGCGCAAGCCUGAUGCAGCCAUGCCGCGUGUAUGAAGAAGGCCUUCGGGUUGUAAAGUACUUUCAGCGGGGAGGAAGGCGAUGUGGUUAAUAACCGCGUCGAUUGACGUUACCCGCAGAAGAAGCACCGGCUAACUCCGUGCCAGCAGCCGCCGUAA